Long non-coding RNA from Tympanuchus pallidicinctus (lesser prairie-chicken), 969 nucleotides. RefSeq lists it as uncharacterized. NCBI's taxonomy places the organism in Eukaryota, Metazoa, Chordata, Aves, Galliformes, Phasianidae. The record is from RefSeq and is a predicted model, not a curated record. The transcript has 3 exons.
UGAUCACCUGUAACGAGAAAGAGGAAGGAGGAAAAGGGGAAGGAGCAGAGAGAGGGAGAGAGAGGCAGAGAGAAACGUGCUUGAGAAGUUCUGAACUUUAGCACCUGACUUUUUAGGCAGGAGCAAACCCAUCCCAUCUCUGAGCCAGCCCUGGGAAGCGCCGCUCUGCCCUGAACCCACCUCUCCCAGCGCCUCUUUCUCUUUCGCUCUCUCCCCGCCCGGCUCGCAGCGAAGCCCGUGCAGCCGCGGCUCCGAUUCCCGCUUCGCUUUUUCUCUCUUUUUUUUUUUUUUUUUUCCUCACUUUUUUCCCCCGUUUCUUUACUUUUCUUCUUUCAUUUUCACUCCUUCCCUCCCCCCCCCCCCUUUUUUUUUUUUGUCGCCGCUGUUGUUUGUUUGUUUAUUUAUUUGCUCAAUUUGCACCUGAGCAGCUCCAGUGCCUUAAGCCCGGGAAGGCAUUCUUUCUGAAAGGAGCAGGAUGGCGCCAGCCGGCUCAGUGCUUACAGACAGCUGUGGCGAGACGCAACUUAAGGAGGUUCCAGUGUCAUAAGCACGGGGGAGGCGGAGCCUGGCCCAGGAAAAUAACUUUUCCCACUAGCCACGAAACUCUGGGAGCUGAGGGCAGCGCGGGUGCCGCUCCCGGACGCUGUGGGCUGCACGGGGGUCGUUCCUUCCGCCUCCCCCCGGCCCAUCCCAAUGGAUGCAGAGCCUCAGGACGAGCCGUUGCUCCGGCAGGUGCAACACCUCCGGGAAAGAAAGCCGCGUCUCUUCGUGCUUAAAGCCGCUCUGACUCGGGAAAUAUUUUUCUUUAAGGACCUGAGCGCCAAGUUUGGAAAUAACACAAUUUGGGGACGUUUAGCGUUGUUUUGUUGGAGUUUUCUGGGGCUUUUUUUUUUUUUUUUUUUCCCUUCAAGUUCCAGCGGAGAUCUCGGUUCUACAGGAGAUCUGUUACAGACAGGCACGGUGUGCCCG